UAGAUACCCGGGUAGUCCAUGCCGUAAACGGUGGGCACUAGGUGUGGGGACUUUCAACGGUUUCCGUGCCGAAGCUAACGCAUUAAGUGCCCCGCCUGGGGAGUACGGCCGCAAGGCUAAAACUCAAAGGAAUUGACGGGGGCCCGCACAAGCGGCGGAGCAUGUUGCUUAAUUCGAGGCAACGCGAAGAACCUUACCUGGGUUUGACAUGUACCGGACAGCCAUAGAGAUAUGGUUUCCUUCGGGUCGGUACACAGGUGGUGCAUGGCCGCCGUCAGAAG
Molecule: ribosomal RNA, 281 nt
Filed under: uncultured bacterium
Lineage: Bacteria
Description: partial 16S ribosomal RNA
Rfam family: Bacterial small subunit ribosomal RNA
Source: RNAcentral